UUGGGAAUAUUGCGCAAUGGGCGAAAGCCUGACGCAGCAACGCCGCGUGAGCGAUGAAGGUCUUCGGAUCGUAAAGCUCUUUCGGCCGGGACGAAAACCCACCGUUUAAUAAGCGGUGACUUGACGGUACCGGAAGAAGAAGCACCGGCUAACUCUGUGCCAGCAGCCGCGGUAAUACAGAGGGUGCAAGCGUUGUUCGGAAUUAUUGGGCGUAAAGCGCGUGUAGGCGGCUUUGUGUGUCGGGUGUGAAAGCCCUCGGCUUAACCGAGGAAGUGCGCCCGAAACUGCAGAGCUUGAGUGCCGGAGAGGAGAGCGGAACACCCGGUGUAGAGGUGAAAUUCGUAGAUAUCGGGUAGAACACCAGUGGCGAAGGCGGCUAUCUGGACGGAAACUGACGCUGAGACGCGAAAGCGUGGGGAGCAAACAGGAUUAGAUACCCCUGUAGUCC
This 448-nucleotide ribosomal RNA is filed under the name uncultured bacterium. Its description in RNAcentral is "bacterial SSU rRNA". It matches the Rfam family "Bacterial small subunit ribosomal RNA", at positions 355 to 796 of the family's 1533-position model. The record is from RNAcentral.